Molecule: long non-coding RNA, 694 nt
Organism: Lathyrus oleraceus (garden pea)
Lineage: Eukaryota; Viridiplantae; Streptophyta; Magnoliopsida; Fabales; Fabaceae
Exons: 3
Source: RefSeq, a predicted model, not a curated record
UCUAUUUAUCUCAAGGAUUAGGGUUUUCGGAUUGAUACUCAAGAGCUCAAUGGGGAAAAUUUCCAGAAGCGCUUUUGUCCGCUCAGAAACGAGUUGUCUUGUUCGAUGCUAUCUUCCGGAAAGUAAAACAUUGAAGAUAUGGAUUGCAACUUCCCCAAGAAUCUCAUCCGACACACCGUUAAAAUUGUUAUCGAGAAACCAACAGUUCUUCAUAUUAGCAUUAUCCUGAACUGAACUGGAAGUUUAAACGGCGGUGGCGGUAGAGUGAAUGAUGAAGAGAUGAGGAAGCCCUUAUCUGCUACUACACUUGAAUGAUGAUGUCGAACUAUUUGCUCUAUGAAUGUCAAGAGCCAUUUGACAGAGUUCCUCUGCUUCAUUAAACUGCAAAGUUUGAACAUUAGCUUCAGCCGGAUACCGACAAGUUUCGCCAUGUCUUGGACGGGCUGCCUCUUAGUUUGAACGGUAAUCCACUCGAGGAAAUAUCAGAUGAUUUUACAGGAGAUAGAGUUGCACCAGAUGCAGCUACCCCUUGCUGUUGUUGAAUACCAAGUGGAUUUCCCCAAAAUACAGCGCUGUGGACACUGGUACAUGCUGUAAAUGAAAUUCUUUCUGCUGCUGGGAUCAAUACGGACGCUGAGAAGCAGGCUCUACUUCAAAAAACGGUAGAUUUGCAAGAAAAUCACAUUGUAAUGUA